This 253-nucleotide ribosomal RNA is filed under the name uncultured bacterium. RNAcentral describes it as "partial 16S ribosomal RNA". It matches the Rfam family "Bacterial small subunit ribosomal RNA", at positions 524 to 776 of the family's 1533-position model. The record is from RNAcentral.
UACAGAGGGGGCAAGCGUUAUUCGGAAUUAUUGGGCGUAAAGGGCGCGUAGGCGGCUUUGCAAGUGACGGGUGAAAUCCCUCGGCUUAACCGAGGAACUGCCUGUCAGACUGUGAGGCUUGAGACCGGGAGAGGUGAGUGGAAUUCCCAGUGUAGCGGUGAAAUGCGUAGAUAUUGGGAGGAACUCCAGUGGCGAAGGCGGCUCACUGGACCGGAACUGACGCUGAGGCGCGAAAGCGUGGGGAGCAAACAGG